CCUACGGGUGGCUGCAGUGGGGAAUAUUGGGCAAUGGGCGCAAGCCUGACCCAGCAACGCCGCGUGAAGGAAGAAGGCUUUCGGGUUGUAAACUUCUUUUAAGAGGGAAGAGCAGAAGACGGUACUUCUUGAAUAAGCCACGGCUAACUACGUGCCAGCAGCCGCGGUAAUACGGAGGUGGCAAGCGUUGUCCGGAUUUAAUGGGUUUAAAGGGCGUGCAGACGGGAAGAAAAGUCAGAUGUGAAAUCCCGAGGCUCAACCGAGGAACUGCCUUUGAAACUGUUGUUCUUGAGUACCGGAGAGGUAAUCGGAAUUCCUGGUGUAGCGGUGAAAUGCGUAGAUAUAAGGAAGAACACCAGUGGCGAAGGCGGAUGACUGGACGGAAACUGACGGUGAGGCGCGAAAGCGUGGGGAGCAAACAGGAUUAGAUACCCCAGUAGUC
RNAcentral lists this ribosomal RNA (442 nucleotides) under uncultured bacterium. RNAcentral's name for it is "partial 16S ribosomal RNA". It matches the Rfam family "Bacterial small subunit ribosomal RNA", at positions 338 to 795 of the family's 1533-position model. The record is from RNAcentral.